Molecule: non-coding RNA, 24 nt
Filed under: Arabidopsis thaliana (thale cress)
Lineage: Eukaryota; Viridiplantae; Streptophyta; Magnoliopsida; Brassicales; Brassicaceae
Source: RNAcentral
GAUGUGAUUGGAAUACUAGAUUAG